GACGAACGCUGGCGGCGCGCUUAACACAUGCAAGUCGAGCGAAGCGGCGGACGGGUGAGUAACACGUGAGUAACCUGCCUUAGACAUUGGGAUAGCCUCGGGAAACCGGGAUUAAUACCAAAUGGUCUAAGAUGGACUCGCGUCCCAUUAGCUAGGUGGUGAGGUAACGGCCCACCAAGGCGACGAUGGGUAGCCGGCCUGAGAGGGUGAACGGCCACAUUGUAACUGAGAAACGGUCCAAACUCCGACGUGGGGCAGCAGUGGGGAAUAUUGCACAAUGGAGGGAGCUCUGAUGCAGCGACGCCGCGUGGGGGCUGAGGGCUUUCGAGUUGUAAACCUCUUUCCUAUCGAACACUAUAGGGUGGGUUGAGGGUAGGUGGAGAAGAAGCACCGGCUAACUACGUGCCAGCAGCCGCGGUAAUAC
RNAcentral lists this ribosomal RNA (424 nucleotides) under uncultured bacterium. Its description in RNAcentral is "partial 16S ribosomal RNA". It matches the Rfam family "Bacterial small subunit ribosomal RNA", at positions 28 to 526 of the family's 1533-position model. The record is from RNAcentral.